This is a long non-coding RNA of Cyprinus carpio (common carp), 242 nucleotides long. RefSeq lists it as uncharacterized. The record is from RefSeq and is a predicted model, not a curated record. The transcript has 3 exons. Lineage: Eukaryota; Metazoa; Chordata; Actinopteri; Cypriniformes; Cyprinidae.
UGAUGCUGCACACACACUUAGCUGGGCGGAAGGUGCGAGUCGGACACUUCAGAGGGGAGAAACAGAUUGAUUUCUUAGCUGUGGAUGAAAACUAUGAUUUUGAAUACCAGGACGUGACAAAUUUGGGCAAAACUAAGACAGUGAAGUUGGGUGACAAAUUGCUGGUGGAGUGCACUUAUAGCACUGAAAACCGCAGCACACUCACAUGGGUUAGUAUUAAUAUAAUUACUGUUCUUCAUGCA